Molecule: long non-coding RNA, 298 nt
Organism: Sinocyclocheilus grahami
Lineage: Eukaryota; Metazoa; Chordata; Actinopteri; Cypriniformes; Cyprinidae
Exons: 3
Source: RefSeq, a predicted model, not a curated record
UGAAACAGCCCCCAGCUGUCGUGCGACUCCCUGUUGCUUGGGUUGUCUUGAUUGGUCACAAGUGUGUCUUGUUAUUCAUUAGUCUGCAGAGCCCUUGUGUUUCAUAGUUCUUGGUUUAGGUUUCUCACCGAGCUGUAACUGCUGAUUGGUCAGAGACGAGAGCUCGUGCGUCACAUGACAAAGUCUUUGCUGCCCUCUGGUGGACAACAUGAGACACUGACUGUAGGGUGCGUUGAUCACGUGACUGGCCAGAUCAAAGAGUGACUGCUCAAUCUGUGUAUGCUGCAUUAUUUUCAGC